GGAUGAACGUUGGCGGUGUGCCUAAUACAUGCAAGUCGAACGGAGUUAAUAGCAAUAUUGACUUAGUGGCGAACGGGUGAGUAACGCGUUGGUGAUCUGCCUCGAAGUGUGGAAUAACGUUCCGAAAGGAUCGCUAAUACCGCAUGUGCUCUCGAUUUUUAGAAACUUGAGAGUAAAGGAUUUAUUCGCUUCGAGAGGAGCCUGCGUCCCAUCAGCUGGUUGGUAGGGUAACGGCCUACCAAGGCUAUGACGGGUAGGGGACCUGAGAGGGUGGCCCCCCACAAUGGAACUGAAACACGGUCCAUACACCUACGGGUGGCAGCAGUAGGGAAUAUUAGAAAUGGACGAAAGUCUGAUCUAGCAACACCGCGUGUGCGAAGAAGGCCUUCGGGUCGUAAAGCACUUUUUGGAAGGAAUAGGAAGGAAUGUACUUCCAGAAUAAGUCUCGGCUAACUACGUGCCAGCAGCCGCGGUAACACGUAGGAGGCAAACGUUAUCCGGAUUUACUGGGCGUAAAGCGCGUGUAGGUGGUACUGUAAGUAGGGCGUGAAAGCUCCCGGCUCAACUGGGAGAGGCCGUUCUAAACUGCAGAACUAGAGGAUGGUAGAGGGAGGUGGAAUUCCAGGUGUAGCGGUGGAAUGCGCAGAUAUCUGGAGGAACACCAGUGGCGAAGGCGGCCUCCUGGACCAUUCCUGACACUCAGACGCGAAAGCUAGGGUAGCAAACG
RNAcentral lists this ribosomal RNA (727 nucleotides) under uncultured Anaerolineaceae bacterium. RNAcentral's name for it is "bacterial SSU rRNA". It matches the Rfam family "Bacterial small subunit ribosomal RNA", at positions 27 to 774 of the family's 1533-position model. The record is from RNAcentral. Lineage: Bacteria; Bacillati; Chloroflexota; Anaerolineae; Anaerolineales; Anaerolineaceae.